RNAcentral lists this ribosomal RNA (254 nucleotides) under uncultured bacterium. Its description in RNAcentral is "partial 16S ribosomal RNA". It matches the Rfam family "Bacterial small subunit ribosomal RNA", at positions 524 to 776 of the family's 1533-position model. The record is from RNAcentral.
UACGAAGGGGGCUAGCGUUGCUCGGAUUGACUGGGCGUAAAGGGCGCGUAGGCGGUUUGCAUAGUCAGACGUGAAAUUCCUGGGCUUAACCUGGGGGCUGCGUUUGAUACAUGCAGGCUUGAGUUCGGAAGAGGGUCGUGGAAUUCCCAGUGUAGAGGUGAAAAUUCGUAGAUAUUGGGAAGAACACCGGUGGCGAAGGCGGCGACCUGGUCCGAUACUGACGCUGAGGCGCGAAAGCGUGGGGAGCAAACAGG